UGUGUGUGUGUGUGCUUGUAAAAAAAACAGAACGUGCAACAAGAAGCAAGAAGAAGAAGAAACGUAAUCAGCAGCUGACAAGACAACGCAAAAUUUUUUCAAUAAUUGCAAGGGAACUUAUAGUGAUAUUUACUCAAAAUUAGCCCGAGUAAGAUAAAAAUGCAUCCACGCUACAGCCCAGCACCGCCCCCUCAACAGCACCAACAGGGCGGCCCACAUCCCCACCAGAGUGGCGGAGGAGGAGGUGGCAUGCGAGGAUCGGGAAACAUGCAGCAACUGCCACCGCAGAUUCCACGAUCCCAAAACUAUUCAAACGGGAGCUCGUCUAGCGCCGCCGCCGCACCACCAACUCCGCGCAGCGCCUUCCCCGGCGCCCCGCUAACCGCCUCAGCCGUCGCACUCAAGGGCGCCCUACCCCAGCGGCCACCGGCCAUGACCAGUCCCGCUGCCGCUGCCGCCGGCGCCGCAUUGGCCGCUGGUGCACCGUAUCGUGGCGCCGCCAGCUGGACCCCGCAGGGUUAUGCCCCGGCCGCUGCUGCCGCCGCCGCUGCUGUUGCCCAGCAGGCUGCUUACCGUUAUACGGCGCCGCUACCGCAACCGGCGUAUGCCGCCUACACGCCGCACACGGCCACCACUCCGGCCACCACCACGUACGGUCAGCGAGUGCCGACGGCAGCCUCACCGAGCAACACCAACUCGAGCAGCUCCUCGAACACGGGAUCCCAGAGCGGCACCCUGAGCACCAGUCUGAGCAACACGACGAACACCAACACAAACAUGGGUCCCAACGGCACGGCACAGAAUCAAAACCAGCAGGGCGGCGAGCAGUUGUCCAAGACGAACCUCUACAUUCGCGGUCUCCAGCAAGGCACAACCGACAAGGAUCUAGUUAAUAUGUGUGCACAAUAUGGAACAAUUAUAUCAACCAAGGCUAUUUUAGAUAAAACAACAAACAAAUGUAAAGGUUACGGCUUCGUCGACUUCGAGCAGCCAGCCUUCGCCGAGUGCGCCGUCAAAGGAUUGCAGGGGAAGGGCGUGCAAGCUCAGAUGGCCAAAGUGGGUAUCUGGGUGCUUCAUAGGCCGGCCAUUCAACAGGAACAGGAUCCCACAAAUUUGUAUAUCGCAAAUUUGCCGCCUCACUACAAAGAAACUGAUCUGGAGGCAAUGCUAUCGAAAUACGGACAAGUUGUUUCGACCAGAAUAUUGCGUGAUCAGCAAAUGAACUCAAAGGGUGUUGGCUUUGCCCGUAUGGAGAGUCGCGAGAAAUGCGAACAAAUCAUCCAGAUGUUCAAUGGCAACACAAUACCGGGCGGCAAAGAUCCCCUGCUUGUGAAAUUCGCCGACGGCGGCCCCAAAAAGAAGAAUCUCUUCAAGACCCCCGAUCCGAAUGCGCGUGCGUGGCGUGAUGUCUCCGCGGAGGGUAUACCCGUUGCCUAUGAUCCGACUUUGCAACAGAACGGGGUCAGCGUUAAUGUUGGCACACCGAUCGGAGUGCCGUACUCUCGAUUCAGUGCCCCCCAGGUGGGUGGCUAUCCAGUGGCCGGCUCCCAAUGGAUACCCGGCUAUAUGAUGACCCAGACGAUCCCUCAGGUAGAUGAUCAGUACAUGCAGAUGGCAGCUGCCCCCCAGUUGGGCGUGACCUCAUACAAGCCGGAGGCGGUGAACCAAGUGCAGCCCCGUGGCAUUUCGAUGAUGGUCAGUGGCGACACGGCCGUGCCAUAUGGAACGAUGAUGCCCCAGUUGGCCACCCUCCAGAUUGGCAACUCUAACUUUUCUCCAUCGUUACAGUAUAUUAGUCCAACUUAUCCAUAUUAUGCACCACCACCAACUAUUAUACCAACAAUGCCAAUGACAGAUUCCGAACAGGCUAGCACAGCUGCAUCACCCGACGAGGCAUACACACAGUAUCCACAUCAAGCCGCUCCCAAAUAGGUCUUCGCGAGUAUAGUUACUAAGCAGUCUAAUCACUGGUAAUCCGUACUAGUUAUAAUAUAUUAGUACCCCAUUUGAGUACGAUAUAAUUUGGACGAGAGUGAGAGCAUGCGAUAGGACCUAGGAUGGAAGAAAUCAAGACACGGAACAACAGACCAGCGGAUCGGAUAUAGAAGUCAACAACAGCAACAACAACCUCAUGAACAAACAACACCAGAAGAAACAACCAGAAGAAGAGAGCCGCGGCAGAAGAAUGGGAUACUCAGCAUGCAGUUGGCGAAAUUAGAAUUUUUGGAAAUGGUUUAAACUUUAAACCCAGAAUGCCGAGGCGAAAAACAAAAAAAAAAAAUGUAUAAUUAAGGAGGUUGGAUGUGAGGAACGAAGUUUAGGGGAUACAUGAGUUAAUGUAAGCGAUGCGAUUAAAAGAAAGCCAGUCUCGAAAGAGGCUCGUGCCGAAGACGCGAGUAAAACGUGAAGAAAAGCAAAGACUAAACUUAAAUAAUAGAGAAUAGUUAUACACUAAAUAAACAACAACAACAACAAGAACAGCAAAAGCAGCAGGAGAGCAGUAAAAUGCUAUCCCAGAGAAUUGUAAACGAAAAGUUUAAGAAGGCAGUUGAAAAUAUUUACAAAAAGAAAAACUGCACGCUGCUAAGAAUUGAAAGUCAAAGGAAACUCACACGGGGGUCAGAUGAAAGAAUAGAAAGAACUUGAGGAAAUCUGCCUAGAAGAACCAUCGCAGAUUAGUGUUAAGCUGAUAUUGUUAAGCGAGACCGUGGCCGAGGGAUGUAAAAAUACAGAAAGAUACUAUUUUGCUAAUUUUGAGAUAGCAAAACAUAAGACAGAAACAGAAAUUUGUGAAGUGAACGUGAACGAUGAUGUACCGAAACAGAAAAAAAAAAAUAUAAAAAAUUUGUGUGCAAUGUAUGUUAAAGAACCGUAAAGGAUGAAAACCAGAGAAAAUAAACAAAAACGAAACAAAAACCAUUUCGAUGAUGAUAUAAACAAAGCAUAACUUUUAAGUCAAACAGCAGCCGAGCGGCACAGCAUCAGCAUCGAAGAAAGCCCCCGAAGAAAGCGAAUUGUCGCGGAAGAAAGCAAACUUUUUACCUUGCUGGAAGCACUUUCUUUGCUGUUGCUGUAGCCUGCAGAGGCAUAUGAAGAUUUUUAAGCUGUAACUACCUUUGUUUUGUUCUGUUUGUCUAAUUUGUAAUAUUUAUUUGUAUUUUUUUGUUGAAACGUGUUGAACAGCACAAAGAACGGAUGCAUGAAGAUCGUAGAUAGCCACAAAAGUGAAGAAUGAAAGAAAGAUCUUUGGUUUGAAUUCUCCUUAUGAUUUUAUUUUUUUUUUGUAAUUGUACCAAAAAUGCAAAUUGUAUAAAGCAAAGAUCCGACAAGAAGAAAAAAAAAGAAAACGAAAUGUCUAUUUCCCCCUUUUUGACAUUCAUUUUGUGCUAUCCAAGAAAAUUAAAUUAAAACAAAAGAAAUGAAAUGAAGAAAGUCCUCGAAUGGGGCAAGACCUAGGUUAAGUCUUAGCAAAACAAAACAAAAAUAAAAAAAAACAUAAGAAAAUUGCAGUAAGCCAACAGAUUUAGUAGUUCUAGAAAUCUAAAGCAAAGCAGACGAAGAGCAAGCCGAAGCUUGCGAAGAUCGACGAAGAAACACAGAGAAGAAUCGAUGAAUAGGUGGAGAAAUCUUAUACUAGUUUUUAGCAUAUUUUUUGUGCUCAUCAGUCGAUUUAAUGAAUGAAUUUUUUGUAGCUGUCUACAGUUUUUUACGUUAACUGUUUUUUAGACAUAUUAAUGAGGAAAGUAAAACCACAACAAAACUUAGGUAUAUAGUCUAUUUUUUCUGCAUAGGAACAGAGUUGUUGAAGGAGCUAGCAGAAGGAAAGGAUAGAGUUGAUUAGCAGCAAGGAAGGAAUCCAAGAGGCAAACACUUUUUAAAAGGGAAUAGCUAAAAAAAGAAAAUAAAAGAAAACCGACAACAACACACAAAAGUAGCAAAACACAGAUGAAAUGAAAAUAAAAUUUUGAAACUGUAGAAUUGUAGUUUAGCUUUGUGAAUUGGAGGAAGGACAACCAUUUUGAAGGAUUAGAAAGGAUCAACAGCAACAGCAGCAACAACAACUGGCACAUGCCGUAGCAGAAAUGUAAAACAAAGCAAAACAAAAAAAAAACAAGAAAAUUAAUGUUAAAUUUAAAAAAAAACACGAUGAAGAGUAAAGAAAGCAGAGAACUACGUUUAGUAAACUUAGUUAAUAAGCAAAGAUUUCUUUAGUCCUAUAAGCUUCUCUUAAGUAGAGUUCGAGAAUGGAGAACGGAGUUUAGAAUUGAAAUUGAACCCUUUUUAAAAAAAAGCCUAGCAUAUUUAUUUUCCUGAGACACUUAAAAACACACUGAGACACUGAGAAACCAACACGGACACACCUAUCAAGCCUAAGCAUUGUAUUUGUGAUUCUUUCGAAUGUUAAUUGAUUAACAAAACUAUUAAGCAAAUGAGAAUAGUGGCUUGAAGUGGGUUACAUGAGAAGAAGACAAGUUUUUGAGAAUCUCGAUCUUGAGAAAGGACAUUCACUCACAAGAACACAGAAGAACGAACGAACAGCAACCACACGGCAAACAACAUUCCUGAGCAAAGUCUUUGAUUUGAUUUUAGAUAUGUAUAUGUAUGUGUUGAAAAAUUUCAUUUUCGAGUUUAAACUUUAAAGUUGUCGAGUUGCCUAACUGAACUAUCUACAUAUAUACAUUAUAUAUAUAUACAUACAUACAUAAAAACGUAAGAAACACAACGCCAAAAGUCUUCCUAAGCCUAAAACCAAAAUAACAAAAUGCAAAUAUACAUUUUUUUUUUCAUCUAAUUACGAUUAUUUGCUUUAGACUGACUACGAACUGGAACUGAAACAAUAACAACAAAUGCAGGAUAUUUUAGCAAAAAAAAAAAUACACAAACAUGUAGUUAAAUGCAGGCAUCUGGAAAUAUUUUGCCAAAACAUUCCAAACGAAGAACUAAAUAUUAAAGUGAAGCAAAAUUAUCUGAAAGCUAAAUGCAAUGAGAAGAUGACUGCAUUUGUUGUCUUUGCAUGUAAAAGAAAAAUCACAAAUACAAGACCAACACAGUGGAAGGUCCUUUCGAUCCUUUUUUCCACACUCACACACAAACACUCACACACACACACGCUCACACCCUCAAACUCACACAAAGUGCAAUUUUCUUUUUGUAGUUUUCAUUAAUUUUACUUUUUUAGCAGCAACAACUUAAGCAAAUUGAGAAAGCAUUAAACUCUAAGUUAUUUAUAAAAAAAUAAAGAAAAUCGCGAAGAAUAUGGGGCGAGAGAAGAUUAGGCCUCCCUAGGAAAGUGAAAAUUAAAUUUAUGUUUUUAGAAAAGAAAAAGAAAAGCGAGUCGAUGGAGGAGAAAUGAACCUAGUUUAUAAGAUCAAAGCCUAGUGUGUAAGUUUAGAGAACCUAAGUACAGUGUUGAGAAGCAAAGAAGAACGCAAAUGAGGAAAACCAGGAGAAAGCAGAAAAGUAGAGAAGUAGAGCGAAGAAGAAGGAUAUGUAGGAACAGACGAGUAGGACAUAUGAUUUCUAGUUGGUAGCAAACAGAGAAUGAAUAGUUGGUUAGUUCGAGUGCAACACACUUAGCAAGUUGUAGUUUUUGUGUAGUUAGAGUGACGAGCGACAAGUGCUGGAAAACGCCGUGUCGCCCAGUUUGAGGUUAGGUUUAAUUUUUGAUGCAAAAAAUAAAAUGCAAGUAAAGCAAGAAAGAAGUAAUGAAAUGAAUGAUCGAAAGCAAGGACGAUGAAGAGGUAAACAAUAAAAUCAAUCGACGAGGAGUGUUCUAAUCUAAACCUAUUCUCAUACUGACUUUUUUGUGUGUAUUUAAAUCUACUUUGACAAGAAACCAAACACUUGGAACUCGUUUGUUUUGCGUCUGUAUUUUGUUUUAAUUUAAUGCGUUUUACUUUAGUUUUUUAACUAAUUUUAAGUAGUUAAUUUAUUAUUUGUCUUAAAAUCGCAGAGACCCCAUUCAAGAUUCAAGAUUGCUUGGGUUUCUCGCUCCUGAUUGAAGAACUCUCGCCAGAAGAGCGAAUCGAUUAAAAUCGAUGCAAGUGUUGAAGUAAUUUUUAAAAAUGCAAACAAAAAAAUGUCUAGUGCGUAAAAUUCAAAACUAAAAACAAGAAAAUUUUUCAAUAAAAAUGAACAAAAAAACAAAAAUAAAUAAAAAUCUUUUGUUUAUGUGCGUUUCUCUUCGUUUUGUUUAAUGUUUUACGUUUUUCUUCGAUGUGAUUUCUUAGUAGUUAAAUGUUUACUAUAUGAAUUACCAGUAAGCUUAUUCAAAACCCCUACACCAAAUAGUUUCCAAUAACAAAUUUCUUAAAUUAAUUAAAUCGUGUUGAAUUAACUUGCGUUUUAAACAGGAGGCAAAACUUAGUCGUCUUAGUCGUUGUUUAGGGGCGGGCAGAGCAGAGCGUGGAAGCGAGAUGCGAGCGCGAGUGGAAUAAAUAAACAUUUUUUAAUUAAGCCAAUUUAAGGAAAUGAUGAAUAUAUAUUUUUUUGAAACUUUUUUGACGAAACCAAGAAUAUAAACAAAAGAAACAAAAAACGAAAAAACAAGAAAAUGAAGACGCAUAAAAGUGAAAGCGCGAAGCCAGAAGAAAGAGGAACGCUAGGCAAAUCGAUGGAACAGAGACAGGAAGGAUGAAACCAAGCUCAUUAAAUUUAAAAAAUAACAAAAAAUUAAAUAAGAAAAUCAGUUUCGGAUCGAAAAGGGGGGUGGUAAUGGAGUAGAAAUGGUAAUGGAACAAAACACGACGACAAAGGCGUACACUAACUUUAAGUAAGCGUAAAAUGCAAGCAGCUAAUUAAACUUAGAAACAGAAAUACUUAAAUGAGAGUAAUGUACAUUUCGCUUGUUGCUAUUUUUAAGUUUUAAAUCAAAGUCUUUUAAAGAACUUUAUUCAUUUUCUUAUUAACAAUGAUAAAAACCAAAAAACCCACAAAAAAAAAAAAUGAAGCAAAGCAAAUGCGCAAACUGGAAAAAAAAGAAAGUUUAAAAAGAAAAAUCUCUAUAUUGUAAUUCUUCAGGAAGUAUCUGAGGGACGAUGGAAAAACGAAAGCAUGAGGAAUGCCCUUCAACUCUUUGUGUAUUUUUUAACGUAUUAUUUUUUGCAUCAAUGUGACGCUUUUAAGCAUUUUUAUAAGGCAAAUGAAUUGUAUUUAAAACUCUAGUAAAAGCUAAAAAGAACCCGAAGAACCUAAACUCUUGAAAAAAAAAACAAAGAAAAAUGCGAAAAGCGAAAUCUUUUCUACAACUUUCAAAUUUAUACACGUACUUUUUGUGCCCUCAACUUUAAUGCAAAAAAUCAUACAUUAAAAACCGAAUUGGAGAUCAAGAGAUAAAGUUAAAAACCCAAAAUAAAAAAAAGGAAAGGGAGAAGAUUUCAAAAGAAAAAUUAGUUUAAGCAAAACAUUUUGCAGCUUUUGUGCUUAUUUCGCUUAAGACUAGUUGAACAAGAAAAAAAAGUAAAUGAUGAAAAAAAAAUUAAAUGUAAUUGUAAGUAAAAAAAAAGAAAAGAGAAUAGAUCAGUAUAGAACAGAAAAGAUGGCGGGAGAAUCAAGCCGGAAGCUAAGCUAGGACAGGACGAAAUGUCGUCCUUGUCGCAAAUGAAAGCAUUAAUGCGAAAAUAGCAAAAGAUUUAAAUGUGGAAAAUGAAGAACACACAAAAGUAAAAAAUGAAGAAAACACGUCUCUUUGGUAGGAAAAAGAAAAACCUAAAGAGAAAAUGCUGUCAUCCAAAACCCCAAAAAAAAAUGAAACUGAACUUUUUCUGAAUCAAUAAAAGACAAAUUGAUUUUCUGUAAGAAAACAAAAA
Non-coding RNA from Drosophila bipectinata, 7808 nucleotides. The record is from RefSeq and is a predicted model, not a curated record. Lineage: Eukaryota; Metazoa; Arthropoda; Insecta; Diptera; Drosophilidae.